AUGACAUUUGAGAUAGCAAUUUUACCAAGCCCUUUGAACUUGCCUUUCUUGUUGUUGCCGAAAGUGAUAGAAUCAAAGCCACCAUUUUGAUUUGUAUCAAUUGAUUUGAACAUACAAGACUCCCCGGUCAUAUGUUGAGUGCACCCACUAUCAAGAACCCAAUGCCUUCCUCCAGCCUUGUAAUUGGCCUACAAGAAAAGAUCAAUUCCUUUUAGGUACCCAAACUUGAUUGGGUCCUCCAAGGUUAGCAACUAAGCUCUUUGGUACCCAAAUGGCUUUCUUCUUUGAGCCCAUCC
RNAcentral lists this long non-coding RNA (296 nucleotides) under Sorghum bicolor (sorghum). RNAcentral's name for it is "long non-coding RNA (SBIC_LNC009967)". Lineage: Eukaryota; Viridiplantae; Streptophyta; Magnoliopsida; Poales; Poaceae. The record is from RNAcentral.